AUGCUCCAGUUCCCUUUCCCGUCGGAUAAAACACUGGUCCGGGUGGUCGUAAAAGGAGGAAGAGAAACAUCGAAGCUGCCCCUCGGUGUUCUUGGCGCUCCGGCUAGUUUCAAAAAGGG
Molecule: small nucleolar RNA, 119 nt
Filed under: Echinops telfairi (small Madagascar hedgehog)
Lineage: Eukaryota; Metazoa; Chordata; Mammalia; Afrosoricida; Tenrecidae
Description: Small nucleolar RNA SNORA61 (ENSETEG00000024402.1)
Rfam family: Small nucleolar RNA SNORA61
About the family: ACA61 is a member of the H/ACA class of snoRNA that guide the sites of modification of uridines to pseudouridines.
Source: RNAcentral